Molecule: ribosomal RNA, 369 nt
Filed under: Salmonella enterica
Lineage: Bacteria; Pseudomonadati; Pseudomonadota; Gammaproteobacteria; Enterobacterales; Enterobacteriaceae
Description: bacterial SSU rRNA
Rfam family: Bacterial small subunit ribosomal RNA
Source: RNAcentral
AAAUUGAAGAGUUUGAUCAUGGCUCAGAUUGAACGCUGGCGGCAGGCCUAACACAUGCAAGUCGAACGGUAGCACAGAGAGCUUGCUCUCGGGUGACGAGUGGCGGACGGGUGAGUAAUGUCUGGGAAACUGCCUGAUGGAGGGGGAUAACUACUGGAAACGGUGGCUAAUACCGCAUAACGUCGCAAGACCAAAGAGGGGGACCUUCGGGCCUCUUGCCAUCAGAUGUGCCCAGAUGGGAUUAGCUUGUUGGUGAGGUAACGGCUCACCAAGGCGACGAUCCCUAGCUGGUCUGAGAGGAUGACCAGCCACACUGGAACUGAGACACGGUCCAGACUCCUAGGAACUGAGACACGGUCCAGACUCCUA